AGCUCCAGUAGCGUAUAUUAAUACUGUUGCAGUUAAAAGGCUCGUAGUCGAACUUUUGGAAAUGUUUUUUGGAGCCAUGUGUCUAGUACACAUUGAGUUGCAUAAGUUUUCAUCCUUUUGGAAAUUGUUUCUGCUCUUGAUUGAGUUAGUUUUGAAUUCCAGAUCAUUUACUGUGAGUUAAUCAAAGUGUUCAAAGCGGAUGGAAGUCCAGAAUGCUGCAGCAUGGAAUAAUACUAUAGAACUUGGUUUUUAUUUGUUGGCUUCUAGAAUCGAAGUAAUGAUUGAAAGAGGUGGUUGGGGGUGCUAGUAUUUAACGGUCAGCGGUGAAAUGCAUAGACCCGUUAAAGACUCACUAAAGCGAAAGCAUUCACCAAGGAUAUUUUCUUUGAUCAAGAACGAA
RNAcentral lists this ribosomal RNA (400 nucleotides) under phytoplankton environmental sample. RNAcentral describes it as "partial small subunit ribosomal RNA". It matches the Rfam family "Eukaryotic small subunit ribosomal RNA", at positions 587 to 987 of the family's 1831-position model. The record is from RNAcentral.